ACGUCAUUGGGCGGCAGUGGGUUCUUGACGGUGGAGAUUCUAAUUGUCCCGCAAAACUUUGGAUUUUUAACCUCACCAGCAAUAAAGACGAGAUCGAUCAUGUGCAUCGAUUUUCUUCUGACUUUGGGAAUCAAAUGCAUGAUCUGGUGCUGGAGGAGACAACAAAUGGAUGGUUUGCAUAUAUUGCGCGCCGGAUAAUCGAGGACAUCCUUGUGUUUAGCUUGAAAGAGGAAAAAUCGUGGCUGAUGCAGAAGAGGAAAGAAUUAUGGGUGUCAAUAGCGCUUUAUUCUCCUCAGGAAAAUCCAAGACAGAUCUACCUUGGAAAAUACAACUCCACUGCUUUGUAUUCUAUUCCUGUGGCUGAUCUUCAGAGCGAAAUUCGACAUGUGAAUCCAAAAAUAAAUAGAACAUUGACUGCAGAGCCCUACCGAAUGUUGAUCGACAAUACUGGAACAGUCUAUGCCGCCUUUUAUGGGAAAAACUACACGUCGACUUGGAAAAUUUCACAGGAACUUGAGGAGCAACGUUUUUAUGUGCCUGGAAAACUGGGCUCUUGGCCGUUUACUUGUGCCUUGAGCUCGUCUGGGACGCUCUGGGGAUGAUGGUGUUUUACGAAAGUGGAGAGCCGAAGUAUAGACUACAAAGAGCUGAAGUCAGUGUAAAGCCACAUCUCUACAAUAUCUCAACAGAAUUUAUCACAACCACAACAACUCCAACGUUUGAUAGUGGGAAAGACAAAGAAAAUAAAACAUGCAACAGCGACGACGCCACACACCAAAGUCUGCUCAUUUUGAACACCGUUUUGUCCUGCUGGAACGUUUUCUGCAUCUUCUCCAUCGCAUCCCAAAUCUAUUGGUUUCGGAAGAUGAAGCGCACGCAAGACACGAUUGCCAAAACCAAGAAAGAGUGCGAGCAAAUGUGCAAAGAGCCUCUUAUCAACCGCGAAAUUCAACCACACGACACGGAAAUCAUCGAUCCCGUUCCUUCUACAUCAAUGCAAACUACAAUCGCUGAUGUCCACUUGUAGUAUUUUAAUUGGAAAUUUGAGCACAAAUAUAUACAAUAAAAAAUAUCUCGAAAAGUUAUCACGAGACUCAUUUAGAAUGCGGAAAUAAUAUAUUAUUAGACCGGCACGCCUCUU
Long non-coding RNA from Cloeon dipterum, 1141 nucleotides. RefSeq lists it as uncharacterized. The record is from RefSeq and is a predicted model, not a curated record. NCBI's taxonomy places the organism in Eukaryota, Metazoa, Arthropoda, Insecta, Ephemeroptera, Baetidae. The transcript has 3 exons.